RNAcentral lists this transfer RNA (69 nucleotides) under Urocitellus parryii (Arctic ground squirrel). RNAcentral's name for it is "Spermophilus parryii (Arctic ground squirrel) tRNA". It matches the Rfam family "tRNA". From Rfam's summary of the family: Transfer RNA (tRNA) molecules are approximately 80 nucleotides in length. Their secondary structure includes four short double-helical elements and three loops (D, anti-codon, and T loops). Further hydrogen bonds mediate the characteristic L-shaped molecular structure. tRNAs have two regions of fundamental functional importance: the anti-codon, which is responsible for specific mRNA codon recognition, and the 3' end, to which the tRNAs corresponding amino acid is attached (by aminoacyl-tRNA synthetases). tRNAs cope with the degeneracy of the genetic code in two manners: having more than one tRNA (with a specific anti-codon) for a particular amino acid; and 'wobble' base-pairing, i.e. permitting non-standard base-pairing at the 3rd anti-codon position. RNAcentral also lists the same sequence under 1 other name. Lineage: Eukaryota; Metazoa; Chordata; Mammalia; Rodentia; Sciuridae. The record is from Rfam by way of RNAcentral.
GGGGUUGUGGCUAAGCGGUAGAGUGCUCACCUAGCAAGUGUGAGGCCCUGGGUUCAAUCCUCAGCACCA